UGGUGGAGUGAUUUGUCUGGUUGAUUCCGAUAACGAGCGAGAUCUCUGCCUCUCAAUAGUCCCCGGUCUCGAUUUCAGUAGGAGCGGUGCAGCGUGCACUGGGGCCCGGCUUCUCCUGGGGUUUCGUCCCCCAGGGGUGUGUUGUGGUCUUUUGGUUGCACGCCACACGGCCGUUUCCGAGAGUACCGGCAGCUUCUCAGCGGGGCCGCGUGCGCUGCCAAAGCACACGUA
This 231-nucleotide ribosomal RNA is filed under the name uncultured eukaryote. RNAcentral's name for it is "partial 18S ribosomal RNA". The record is from RNAcentral.